UACGUAGGGUGCAAGCGUUGUCCGGAAUUAUUGGGCGUAAAGAGCUCGUAGGCGGUUCGUCGCGUCGGCUGUGAAUCCCGAGGCUCAACCUCGGGUCUGCAGUCGAUACGGGCGGACUGGAGUUCGGCAGGGGAGGACUGGAAUUCCUGGUGUAGCGGUGAAAUGCGCAGAUAUCAGGAGGAACACCCGUGGCGAAGGCGGCCUGCUGGGCAGUAGCUGACACUGAGGCGCGACAGCGUGGGGAGCAACAGG
This 252-nucleotide ribosomal RNA is filed under the name uncultured bacterium. Its description in RNAcentral is "partial 16S ribosomal RNA". It matches the Rfam family "Bacterial small subunit ribosomal RNA", at positions 524 to 775 of the family's 1533-position model. The record is from RNAcentral.